Molecule: non-coding RNA, 722 nt
Organism: Podarcis muralis (Common wall lizard)
Lineage: Eukaryota; Metazoa; Chordata; Lepidosauria; Squamata; Lacertidae
Source: RefSeq, a predicted model, not a curated record
UCCAGGCAGAACAAUGGGGGUGGAGAUGUUGAGACAUUUUAGACUGUGCCUAGAUGUGUAUCUUGAGAGCUCUCCUCUGACUUCCUGAACCAUGUGACUUGACCUGUGUUUCAGCCAUGCAGGAAUUUUUGGAAUAAAGCCUUCAAGAACAAUCAAGCGUUCCAAGUACUGUGUCGAGGAGUGGCAGGUCAGACGGGAAUAAGCUUUGCCAAUCCCUUCAACAUCAAUGUUGACAGUGCACCACAUCACCUUCAAAUGGAAUUAAUAGAACUUCAGUGCAACAGCAGCCUGAAAGCGAAGUUCCAGGAUGCGACAGUCGACGACUUUUACCGUCUCCUCCCCCCUGCUUUGAUGCCACAGCUCCGACUUCAAGCUGCACGUGUUCUGUCCAUGUUUGGGAGCACCUAUCUAUGUGAACAGAUGUUUUCAGUCAUGAAUCUGAACAAGACCAAGCUCAGAUCACGCAUCACUGAUGAUAACCUCCAUGCUGUUUUGCGGAUUGCUACAGCACAAGACCUAACGCCAGACAUCGAUGGACUGACCUCAGGAAAACGAUGUCAGCCAUCUAGUCAGAAAAGUUAAAAAAAAGUUAAUGCCUUGUGUUUGCCAUAUGUGUAAUAAACAGUGUUUGGCAAUAUUUGUAUGUUUUAAAAAAAUUUUUACUGUCUGUUACCAAAAAUCAUUUUUCAAUAAAUUGUACAAUAAUUGUACAUUUGAAUAUC